GACGGACCUGCGCUUCCAGAG
RNAcentral lists this unclassified non-coding RNA (21 nucleotides) under Mus musculus (house mouse). RNAcentral describes it as "oocyte_clustered_small_RNA10971". Lineage: Eukaryota; Metazoa; Chordata; Mammalia; Rodentia; Muridae. The record is from RNAcentral.